AGAGUUGAUUAUGGCUCAGGACAAACGCUGGCGGCGUGCCUAAUACAUGCAAGUCGAACGAGAAUCAGAAGCUGCUUCUGAGGAAAGUGGCGGACGGGUGAGUAAUAUGUAGGAAAUCUGCCCUUACGAGGGGGACAACAGUUGGAAACGACUGCUAACACCCCAUAGGAGGUUAGUUGAAAUACUAAUCUUUAAAGAUUUAUCGCGUAAGGAUGAGCCUGCAUCUGAUUAGCUUGUUGGUGGUGUAAUGGACUACCAAGGCGACGAUCAGUAGCUGGUUUGAGAGGAUGAUCAGCCACAAUGGGACUGAGACACGGCCCAUACUCCUACGGGAGGCAGCAGUAGGGUAAUUUUGCGCAAUGGGACGAAAGCCUGACGCAAGCAACGCCGCGUGAGUGAUGAACGCCCCUCGGGGUGUAAAACUCUGUCAGUAGGGACAAAUUUUGAUGGUACCUACAGAGGAAGCAUCGGCUAACUACGUGCCAGCCGCAGC
Molecule: ribosomal RNA, 493 nt
Filed under: uncultured bacterium
Lineage: Bacteria
Description: bacterial SSU rRNA
Rfam family: Bacterial small subunit ribosomal RNA
Source: RNAcentral